UAAAAAUUAAAAGUUGAACAAACUUUUUUUAUUUAAUUUCUAUUUUAAAAAAAUUUUUAAAUUCAACAUCGAGGUAAUAAACUAAAAUUUUAAUUUACUCUAUUAAUUUUAAUUAUC
This 117-nucleotide ribosomal RNA is filed under the name Phenacoccus solenopsis (Solenopsis mealybug). RNAcentral's name for it is "partial 16S ribosomal RNA". The record is from RNAcentral. Lineage: Eukaryota; Metazoa; Arthropoda; Insecta; Hemiptera; Pseudococcidae.